GGAGGCUUCGCCUAGUCCGGUCUAUGGCGCCGCACUGCUAAUGCGGUUUGGGUCUACAACCCAUCCGGGGUUCAAAUCCCCGAGCCUCCGCCC
This 93-nucleotide transfer RNA is filed under the name Pseudofrankia sp. EUN1h. RNAcentral describes it as "Frankia sp. EUN1h tRNA-Ser". It matches the Rfam family "tRNA". Rfam says of the family: Transfer RNA (tRNA) molecules are approximately 80 nucleotides in length. Lineage: Bacteria; Bacillati; Actinomycetota; Actinomycetes; Frankiales; Frankiaceae. The record is from RNAcentral.